Molecule: ribosomal RNA, 491 nt
Filed under: uncultured bacterium
Lineage: Bacteria
Description: partial 16S ribosomal RNA
Rfam family: Bacterial small subunit ribosomal RNA
Source: RNAcentral
AGUGAACGCUGGCGGUAGGCCUAACACAUGCAAGUCGAACGGCAGCACAGUAAGAGCUUGCUCUUACGGGUGGCGAGUGGCGGACGGGUGAGGAAUACAUCUGAAUCUACUUUUUCGUGGGGGAUAACGUAGGGAAACUUACGCUAAUACCGCAUACGACCUACGGGUGAAAGCAGGGGAUCUUCGGACCUUGCGCGAUUGAAUGAGCCGAUGUCGGAUUAGCUAGUUGGCGGGGUAAAGGCCCACCAAGGCGACGAUCCGUAGCUGGUCUGAGAGGAUGAUCAGCCACACUGGAACUGAGACACGGUCCAGACUCCUACGGGAGGCAGCAGUGGGGAAUAUUGGACAAUGGGCGCAAGCCUGAUCCAGCCAUACCGCGUGGGUGAAGAAGGCCUUCGGGUUGUAAAGCCCUUUUGUUGGGAAAGAAAAGCAGCAGGUUAAUACCCCGCUGUUCUGACGGUACCCAAAGAAUAAGCACCGGCUAACUUCGU